GGGGAUGUAGCUCAUUGGUAGAGCGCAUGCCUUGCAUGUAUGAGGUCCUGGGUUCAAUCCCCAGCAUCUCCA
Molecule: non-coding RNA, 72 nt
Organism: Danio rerio (zebrafish)
Lineage: Eukaryota; Metazoa; Chordata; Actinopteri; Cypriniformes; Danionidae
Source: Rfam